Molecule: ribosomal RNA, 463 nt
Filed under: uncultured bacterium
Lineage: Bacteria
Description: bacterial SSU rRNA
Rfam family: Bacterial small subunit ribosomal RNA
Source: RNAcentral
ACUCCUACGGGAGGCAGCAGUAGGGAAUAUUGGUCGAUGGGUGAGAGCCUGAACCAGCCAUGCCGCGUGCAGGAAGACGGCCUUCUGGGUUGUAAACUGCUUUUACCAGGGGAUAAAAGAUCUUGCGAGAUUAAUUGAAGGUACCUGGAGAAUAAGCACCGGCUAACUACGUGCCAGCAGCCGCGGUAAUACGUAGGGUGCAAGCGUUGUCCGGAUUUAUUGGGCGUAAAGAGCUCGUAGGCGGUUUGUCGCGUCUGUCGUGAAAGUCCGGGGCUCAACUCCGGAUCUGCGGUGGGUACGGGCAGACUAGAGUGAUGUAGGGGAGACUGGAAUUCCUGGUGUAGCGGUGGAAUGCGCAGAUAUCAGGAGGAACACCGGUGGCGAAGGCGGCCCCUGGACAAAGACUGACGCUCAGGCACGAAAGCGUGGGGAGCAAACAGGAUUAGAUACCCUGGUAGGCUCU